RNAcentral lists this ribosomal RNA (682 nucleotides) under uncultured bacterium. RNAcentral describes it as "bacterial SSU rRNA". It matches the Rfam family "Bacterial small subunit ribosomal RNA", at positions 1 to 663 of the family's 1533-position model. The record is from RNAcentral.
GGCUUAGAGUUUGAUCAUGGCUCAGGACGAACGCUGGCGGCGUGCUUAACACAUGCAAGUCGAACGGGGUGUUUAUUUCGGUAAACACCAAGUGGCGAACGGGUGAGUAACGCGUAAGCAAUCUACCUUCAAGAUGGGGACAACACUUCGAAAGGGGUGCUAAUACCGAAUGAAUGUAAGAGUAUCGCAUGAGACACUUACUAAAGGAGGCCUCUGACAUAAGCUUCCGCUUGAAGAUGAGCUUGCGUCUGAUUAGCUAGUUGGUGAGGGUAAAGGCCCACCAAGGCGACGAUCAGUAGCCGGUCUGAGAGGAUGAACGGCCACAUUGGGACUGAGACACGGCCCAGACUCCUACGGGAGGCAGCAGUGGGGAAUCUUCCGCAAUGGGCGAAAGCCUGACGGAGCAACGCCGCGUGAGCGAUGAAGGUCUUAGGAUCGUAAAGUUCUGUUGUUAGGGACGAAGGGUAAGAAUCAUAAUAAGGUUUUUAUUUGACGGUACCUAACGAGGAAGCCACGGCUAACUACGUGCCAGCAGCCGCGGUAAUACGUAGGCGGCAAGCGUUGUCCGGAAUUAUUGGGCGUAAAGGGAGCGCAGGCGGGAAACUAAGCGGAUCUUAAAAGUGCGGGGCUCAACCCCGUGAGGGGGUCCGAACUGGUUUUCUUGAGUGCAGAGAGGAAAGCG